GAAAUUCGUCGGAUAAUGUAUGCGAUGUGUUUCCUAAAGGUCCAGAUAUUCUCCAACCAACCCUUCUCCUAACUGUGAGCUCCAGUGAAGAAAUCGCAAGCAGCAAGUUUGCAACCGUUGUCUGUUCAAUCAUCGAGUUCCGUCCGAAGUCAAUCUCCGUGAGUUGGUUGAAAAAUGGCCGACCCUUGGAUUCUGGCUUCUUCACGUCUCCCGUGUGUGAGGCGAACGGGAACUUCUCGGUGACGAGUCGGCUGAUGGUCCCUUAUGGUGAAUGGUUCAACAGCGCAGUUUAUACCUGCCAGGUCACUCAUGGAGAGAACAUUCAAAGUAAAAACAUCACCGCACUCCAGGAAGAUACCGAGUGCCACCCUAACACCGUUAAAACCCUCCCACCACCAGUAGAACAAGUCUUACUGGAGGCGACGGUGACGGUAACCUGCGUUGUGUCCAAUCUUCCUUCUGGAGUCAAUGUGACCUGGAAACAAGAAAAGAAGCCUCUGAAAUCAGAGAUUGCUGAGCAGCCUGGACAGAAUCCCGACAGCGUGAUCAGCAAAUUAGACAUUUCUACUGAUCUGAUUAAGUCAGAUAAGGUGGGAAGAAGCCUGGGUUGUGACGUCACCAUCAGCAAUGACAAAUGGACAGAAUGUCCUCGUUUGAUUAAUCCGCUGGAGCCAUCAGUUUCGGUCCUCCUGCCACCAACAGAAGAAAUCUCCGCUCAACGGUUUCUCUCCCUCACCUGUUUAGUGAGAGGUUUCUCCCCCCGAGAGAUGUUCGUCAAGUGGACAAACAAUGACAAGCCGGUGAAUCCCAGUAACUACAAGAACACCGAGGUGAUGGCGGAGAGUGACAACACUUCCUUCUUCAUCUACAGCCUGUUAUCCAUUACAGCGGAGGAGUGGGCCAGCGGUGCUUCUUACUCCUGUGUGGUGGGACAUGAAGCGAUUCCAUUGAAGAUCAUCAACAGAACAGUCGAUAAAUCCAGCG
Chiloscyllium plagiosum (whitespotted bambooshark) is the source of this 984-nucleotide non-coding RNA. The record is from the annotation of a RefSeq genome assembly. Lineage: Eukaryota; Metazoa; Chordata; Chondrichthyes; Orectolobiformes; Hemiscylliidae.